Molecule: ribosomal RNA, 432 nt
Filed under: Caulobacter vibrioides
Lineage: Bacteria; Pseudomonadati; Pseudomonadota; Alphaproteobacteria; Caulobacterales; Caulobacteraceae
Description: bacterial SSU rRNA
Rfam family: Bacterial small subunit ribosomal RNA
Source: RNAcentral
AGAGUUUGAUCCUGGCUCAGAGCGAACGCUGGCGGCAGGCCUAACACAUGCAAGUCGAACGGAUCCUUCGGGAUUAGUGGCGGACGGGUGAGUAACACGUGGGAACGUGCCCUUUGGUUCGGAACAACUCAGGGAAACUUGAGCUAAUACCGGAUGUGCCCUUCGGGGGAAAGAUUUAUCGCCAUUGGAGCGGCCCGCGUCUGAUUAGCUAGUUGGUGAGGUAAAGGCUCACCAAGGCGACGAUCAGUAGCUGGUCUGAGAGGAUGAUCAGCCACAUUGGGACUGAGACACGGCCCAAACUCCUACGGGAGGCAGCAGUGGGGAAUCUUGCGCAAUGGGCGAAAGCCUGACGCAGCCAUGCCGCGUGAAUGAUGAAGGUCUUAGGAUUGUAAAAUUCUUUCACCGGGGACGAUAAUGACGGACCCGGAGAAG